AUACAACCCUGCCUAAUGGUGACUCCCCCAGAGGCCACUGUGCGUCUGUUAAAGCGGUGGCCACCUCUUCUUGGGAAGGUGCAGCUUGUGACAUGAGCUUCGGGGGUAUUGGCUGGAUUUUUACCACACUACACUUUCCCUGAUGAGUUUGGCCAUCUCCCACUUGGCCUUGACCCUGGUCUUUCUCUGUGUCCAAACUUGGAAAGGCACCGGAUACCCUAGCUCUCUCCUCCUCCCCAAGCUGGUCACCAGCCUCAUGCCUUCUCUCUCUGAUCAGGUCACUUGUCUGCCUCUGGCCCUUGGUGAAGAUCUAUCCUAGAUUUCAUUCCUUAAUUUGUGCCCCAUCCCUUCCCCCAGGCUCUAGGGGGAUCUGUCCAAGGUCUGUGUCCCACCGCUUCCCUCUUCCUUCCUGGCUGUCUCAUGAAUCCUGGCUGCAAACCCAGAGAUUUCCAGGAGCGCCUUCGCCAGGCGCUGGAUCAUUGAUGCCCUUGGAGUCCUCCCACUCUCCCCCAGGGCCAGCUUGCAGUCCUGCCGCUCUGUCUGGUGCAUGCCCCAGGGCUCCCUCAUGGCUGCAGAGGUUGAGAAUGCCUCUGAUGCUUCCUAUGUCAUGUCUUCUCGGUUUCAGUAUGAAGCACUGCACUGUGUCUGUGAACUUUGAGCUGUAAGUAGCCCAAGGACAGCGCAUUUUCACUGGGUCCUUUCACUUGCUUCUGCCAAGGGAAGUGGGAAUUAUCUGGCCCAUUUGUGGAGGAAAAAACCAAGGCCCAAGAAAGCAUGGCCCUGGC
This 785-nucleotide long non-coding RNA is filed under the name Marmota monax (woodchuck). The record is from RNAcentral. Lineage: Eukaryota; Metazoa; Chordata; Mammalia; Rodentia; Sciuridae.